ACCUGAUGGCUUCAGGUCACCAGCAAUGGUCCAGAGCUGAGAGCUGUGCCUGAGUUUGUUUCUCCCACAGUAUCUGGGCUGAGCAUGGUUGCAUGAAAUUAGAAAAGCAGUCAGCUCCAAUUGGCUCAGGGCAGAGCUUCUAAAAGAGAGAAUUUCUUGACAGUCACACAAUAAAUUUCAAAAAGUUGUCAUCAGUGAAAUCUGUGCAUGAUGGUUCUCACCUACGUUCGAUCAAAAAUGGCUCAUGAUUUCAGGUUCCUUCGAAUUGGUCACUGAAAAUGGUGCUGUUCCUGUGUUCCUAUUCUAGUUUUCUUAAAAUCAUAGAAUUCUUUGGGUUGGAAGGGACCUUAAAGUUCAUCUCACUCCAGCCUCCCUGCCAGGGACACCUUCCACCAUCCCAGGGUGCUCCAAGCCCCAUCCAGCCUGGCCUGGGACACUUCCAGGGAUCCAGGGGCAGCCACAGCAUCCUCACAAGGGAGAAUUUCCUUCUAAAAUCUAACCUAAAUCUACUCUUCUUCGGUUUAAAGCCAUUCCCCCUUGCCCAAAGUCCCUUUCUAGUUCUCCUGGAGCCCCUUUAGUCUUCUAAGGUCUCCCCAAAACCUCCUCCAGGCUGAGCAACCCCAACUGUCCCAAUUUGUUGCCACCUUUCAAUCUUUCCAUGGUUUUCACCUGUAACAACAGCCUCUGUGCAUGCCCUCAGUGGCCAGGAUGCCAAGUUUUAAAGUCUUUUGCAAAUAUUUCUGAAAUAUUUUUGCGGUUAGGAAAUACAAAUGCAAGGUAAACUCCGAGUUGCCCAUCACGUUUCCUUCCACAGGGCAUGGACACCAGCUGGAGUUCCUCUUGCAGCAGUGCACUGAACCAAUCAAUGUCUGGGAUUUUAAAGCAGUGUUAAUCUAAAGCAACGAGUUCUGAAUAAUGUUUAUUAACUAUAUUUUAAUGACUUGUCAGUUUUCUAAAACACAUGCUGAAGUAUUUCAGAAAUCACUUAGUAAAUGCAGUUUUAAUUCUGUUCCCAUAUUCAUGGGCUGCUACUUACUUUAAGAAAAAAAAAGAGAUUAGAAGGUUCAGAUUUAGAGCAGCAAAUUGCUCUGCUAAUCUGCAGGUAUUUCUCUUCUUGAUAUGGCCACUAAUGUCUAAUCUUAGCAACGCAGGCUCAAUCAUUGUGCUUUUUCAUUAGAGCUGCAAUGAACUGUGUGCCAGGGACUUGAACUCUGGUGACAAGCUGCUCCAAGCCUGCGAGCUUUCACAGGAAAAUCUUCUGUGAGAGUCUAAAAUGAUCCUGUUAAGUUUGUGCAAAAGAUGGGGAGUUCACAAUACGAGCUCUGGUAGGAGCAGAGUGCCUGUGAACCUCUGGGCAGUGUGGGGUUAGGGCUGGCCACGAAAAAGGGUCUAUGCCAUGAAAAAUAUUCAAAACUUUUAAUUUGUUUCCAUUUCUCAUGAGACAGAAAAAAGAAAACCUUGGGAACUUUUUUUUUUUUUUUUUCCUGCAAAAUGUCGUGGAGUAAGGCUGUGGAGCACAUCUUUCCUUCUGGAUGCUGUCAGCAGUGUUGGGAAUGUCUUCAGAGCUGGGAUUUGGACCUGGACCUCCUCCUGCCAUCCCUGGGCGUGUAUGGGUCUGAUUCAGUCUUACAGUUUUGAUGUCUCAAACAAACGUCAGCACCUUUACAAGGAGCACAUUGACAAGUGGAGGAGACAAGCAAGUGGGCUGAGAAGACAUCUGCCUCCAAUAUUCUGAUGUACCUCGAGGACCUGCUUCUGGAGCCAGUCCUUGUUUUGAGGAUCAAAUCUGCAUUUCCUGAGCGCUUGAGGAAAGCCUGUCAGCGUGAUCAGCAUCAGCAUCACUCAGCAGGACCUGUUGAGGAGCCAGUGCUUGGGCUGGGCCCUUCACAGUGCUGGUUUAUCCUUUUUAAAAUCUAAUCCUGAGGCUACACGAAUUUCCAUCAUUUCACUUGGAAAAAUUUCUGAUAGCUGAGCAAAACUGUCUCAGGAAAAGAUGAAGAAACUCGAAGAACAAACAGCAAUAUUGGAUGGCAGAUGAGACAAACCUAAAUUUUACAAUGAAGGAAGAGGUUAUCAAAGUUUCACUCUCACAAACUGGUUUCUUUUAAGGGGUUGAAGGCAAGUGGUUGUGGCAGGUCAGGUUAUCAUGUUGUGCUAUAGUUAGAACUCUGGGCUGGUUCUGUGCUGUUGUUUGUUGAGAUGACUAAGUUGUCAUUUUUAAUUAGCUUUAUGCUCCUCUCAAAGGCUAAUUACUUUACUUUUUAUCAAGAACACUUGAUUGAUAAUGACAAGGGUGCCAUGGUUACGUAUUUUUAGAGAAUUCCCCAACCUGCACCAUUAUGUGAUUUCCUGUUCCCCCUGGAUUCUUUGUGCAGUAAAGCCUUCAAUAAAAAUAAUGGUUAAGAAAAAUGGAACUUUACUAAAGAUAUUGUUGGAAAAGAGUAUUUCUUGUUUUCUUUUUGGCAGGAAGGCCACUGCUAAUGUAUUUACUCAGGGUAAAAACCAUUAUGCUUAGUUUACUUUCCUGUCAGUGACACUCAGGUCGCUCCAUUACCUUCACUGAAGUUACCUCAGACAAACUGAAUUUGAGACCUUCCUUUUUCCCCCCCUCUCAUUUGUCUAUAGCUGUACAUCUCCCCUGGUCAUCAUGGAAAUCUGCACUGACUGAACUGGAUCCUUAUUUCCAGUUGUGGACAUGGCACAACCAGACACUGAUUUUCAG
Oenanthe melanoleuca is the source of this 2722-nucleotide long non-coding RNA. RefSeq lists it as uncharacterized. The transcript has 4 exons. The record is from RefSeq and is a predicted model, not a curated record. NCBI's taxonomy places the organism in Eukaryota, Metazoa, Chordata, Aves, Passeriformes, Muscicapidae.